Molecule: RNA transcript, 3008 nt
Organism: Mirounga angustirostris (Northern elephant seal)
Lineage: Eukaryota; Metazoa; Chordata; Mammalia; Carnivora; Phocidae
Gene: FUT1
Gene name: fucosyltransferase 1 (H blood group)
Exons: 4
Source: RefSeq, a predicted model, not a curated record
CCAUGGGAACAGCUUCAGAUGUGCUGCAGAGGGAAGCCUUGGACCCCAACCAGGAGGCUGGGAAGAUAAACUGGCUUCCACGCCCGCUUGCUCCUUCCUGUGCUCUGGGAGAGAGCCUGCCUCCGGCAGGUGCCCUUCUAGAAAGGAGAUGCCCUUCUAGAAAAGAGCUGUCAGGCGCCAGAUCCUCCACUCCGUCUGCAGGAGAGGCUGGGGGCCGCGCCUCUGGAAUUUGCAGGUGCACGGCGCCGACCUGGGGGAUCAGCGGCCCCUGCUGUGCGCGGGGACACCUACGGCCGGAGGCUCCCACGUCUGGGACCCUGAGAGCUGGAGGAGGUUUUCCAUCCGCUCCAGGAGCAGCCUGGAGAACAGGUUCUUCACCCCCACCGGCAGGACGAGGCAGAGGGCGGAGGAUCUUCCUCCCCGCGCGGGCCUGCUGUCCGGGUCCUCCCUAGCGGCCGGGGAGUGGCCGGGCUCCGACCAUCCAGGUACCCGGGGCAGACCGUGAGCCCGGGCGCCGGAGAAGGGGGAGAAGUCGAUGGACCCGAGCACCUGGGUCGAGCAUUGCGUCUGGGCGCUAGCAGUCCAUGUCCACGAAGGAUACCGCUGCUGGAGGCCAGCCCUUGGCGCCAGUCGGGGGAAGCGGCAUGGAGGGGACGUCUGCUGAACCCUGGGACCUGGAGUUCGGGGUUCCGGGGGCGGGCGGAUGUGGGCUGCACUUGAGGACGGCGCGCCCCAGCCCCGCCAAGCCGACUGCGGACCUGCCAUCCGCCAGGAGCUCUGCCACGUGGGCCCCCAGCCGACGGCAGCUCUGUCUGACCUUCCUGCUAGUCUGUGUUCUUUCAGCCGUCUUCUUCCUCCACAUCCACCAAGACCUGUUUCACAGUGGCCUAGACCUCACUGCCCUGUGUCCAGACCGCCACCUCCUGACACCCCCCGUGGCCAUCUUCUGCCUGUCGGGCUCACCGACGGCCCCCAACACCUCCUUUCCCUGUCUCAAGCCCCCUGCCUCCCUCUCAGGAAUCUGGACUAUCUACCCAGACGGCCGCUUCGGCAACCAGAUGGGGCAGUAUGCCACGCUGCUGGCCCUGGCCCAGCUCAACGGUCGCCAGGCGUUCAUCCUGCCCGCCAUGCAUGCCGCCCUCGCCCCCGUGUUCCGCAUCACCCUGCCCGUGCUGGCCCCCGAGGUGGAGGGCCACACGCCAUGGCGGGAGCUGCAGCUGCAUGACUGGAUGUCGGAGGACUAUGCCCACUUGGAGGAUGCCUUUCUGAAGCUCACGGGCUUCCCCUGCUCCUGGACCUUCUUCCACCAUCUCCGUGCCCAGAUCCGCCGCGAGUUCACCUUGCACGAACACCUGCGGCAGGAGGCCCAGGGUCUACUGAGCCAGCUCCGCUUGGGCCGCACGGGGGACCGUCCUCGCACCUUUGUGGGUGUCCACGUGCGCCGGGGGGACUACCUGCAAGUCAUGCCCCAUCGCUGGAAGGGUGUGGUGGGCGAUCGCGCUUACCUCCAGCAGGCUAUGGACUGGUUCCGGGCCCGGCACGAAGCCCCCAUCUUUGUGGUCGUCAGCAACGGCAUGGCCUGGUGUCGGGAGAACAUUGACGCCUCCCGGGGGGAUGUGAUCUUUGCUGGUGACGGGCAGGAGGGCUCGCCAGGGAAGGACUUUGCGCUGCUCACGCAGUGCAACCACACCAUCAUGACCAUUGGGACCUUUGGUUUCUGGGCUGCCUACCUGGCCGGUGGAGACACUGUCUACCUGGCCAACUUCACCCUGCCGAACUCCAACUUCCUUAAGAUCUUUAAGCCCGAGGCCGCCUUCCUGCCCGAGUGGGUGGGUAUUAAUGCGGACUUGUCUGCACUCCAGUCGCUGGCAGGGCCUUGAGCAGCAGGGAGACUUUCUGGAAUUGCUGAUCAGUCUUGGGCCAGCAUUUAUGCAUCUCCAGAGGCCUGGCAGCUUGGAGAGAAAAGAGGGCUUUCUGUAGCUGUCUGGACAUUCUAGAACCAGCAGAAGAUCUUUUCCUGUUGGUUAGCAAUGCCUAGAGAGGCUCAUGUCAGUUCUAGAAGGCAAUGCCUACCUGCUCUUCCCAGCCCAUAUCUGGAGUACUUCUAGAUGGCUGCACCCCAAGUACAGCCAUUCUAGAGAGGGUCAAUUCUAGUGCCUGUGAAGAAUCCUGCAGGGCUCUUCCAGAGGGGAUGGAGUUCUGGAAUUCCAGGAGAAUCUCAGGAAGGUACAAUCCGAAGCUCAACGCCUCAACCACUGCCAGAAAGAUUGGUGGAAGACAAACUGUCUAUAGCUGCAAGCAGACCCGAAAUCUGUCCAACCUCUCAGCCCCGGAAAAAAAAAAGACCAAGACUCUUUUUUGAGCAGAUAGGCGAAAACAUGGGAGGUGGGGGAGGGGGACGGCUGCUGAAUUGCAGCAGCUUCUGGAGCAAAGUUUUCCAGAAAUGUAGGAACACUUUUUUUUUUAAGCUCAAAAACUGCCAAAGACAAGCACCCCACAAGGUGGCUCUGAGUUAGGUCGCCUCUCCCAAUUACAGACGUUUCCUCCUUUGCUGCAGGGCUUGGGGGUGGGCGGGUGAUGAUGGAAUCGAUUUUCUGGAAUUCAGCUGGCAUGAAUGUUUCCUUUGGGCUUAUAGAAAGCAGCUGGCCUUGUGUCCCUUGCCAACCCCUGUCUGCCCCCGAUUUCACAGAACCUGGCUUCGGGUUUGAAAGAGUCUGAGGGUAUUCAGACUCCAGACUGUCCUCAAACCCAGGCAGGAAGGAGCACAGGGUUUGGCCAAGGAGGAUGGGAUUCUGGACUCAGAUUUCAGGAACCCCUUGAGGCUUUUUGAAGGGGGUUGAAGGUGGCUAGCUAUCUUUAUUGCAGACAACUCUGAUCGCAUCUCCUGUUUACCCAGAAGAAUGCAGACCCCUUUUUUAGUCUUCUCAGGGAGUUUUGAGGGAUCAUUCCCUAUUCAGCUGCUCCAGGUGGGGAAGAGGGAGGUAUGAAUUAAAAGUCCACAUCGCCAA